UUCUUCCGGUGCUGCCGCCUGCGGCAGGGCCUCUUGAGCCGCACCCGGGGACGGGGAAGCGACUGGAUUAGCGGGAAGAUUUAGAUCGGGAAUUGUUGGUUUCUUCGAAGAGCUGGCUCCGCUUCCACCUUCCCCGAAAUCGAUUGGCUUAACCCGAUUCUCUUUCUAUUGGAAAUGGAAUUGAAGUGAAGGCCCAAGACUUCCACUUCUUCUCUAUCUUCCUUAAAUUACAAUUGAAUCCUGAUUUGUGGUUGGCGAAAAGAGAAAGGCAGACAAUUCUGCAAAAGGAAAAAAGCUGGAUAUUCCAGGAGGGCGAGGGCUUUCUCAUCUAAAGGCAGGGGGGAGCUUUCUCACUAUACAAUGACCACUACGAACGAAGGACCAACGACGAUGAAGGAAGAGAAGGAGGAGGAGUAGGAGCUAGCCUUUGUAGAGGCGGAAUCGAAUGAUUACGAGAUAGACAAUGAGACAAAGGAGAGCACUUAGACAAUUCACUUUGAGUACAGGGUAGGUUGUUGUACAAAGAAAUCAUUUCAUGAAAUCAAGGAUGCCAUAACCCUGCGACCGGAUCUAUAAAAACUUAAUAUUAUGAUGUUCACGCCAUCCGUUGCAUCUUGUUGCAGGAAAAUGAUGAGGA
Molecule: long non-coding RNA, 637 nt
Filed under: Olea europaea (common olive)
Lineage: Eukaryota; Viridiplantae; Streptophyta; Magnoliopsida; Lamiales; Oleaceae
Description: long non-coding RNA (OEUR_LNC008257)
Source: RNAcentral